Molecule: ribosomal RNA, 252 nt
Filed under: uncultured prokaryote
Description: partial 16S rRNA
Rfam family: Bacterial small subunit ribosomal RNA
Source: RNAcentral
ACGUAGGGCGCAAGCGUUGUCCGGAUUUAUUGGGCGUAAAGAGCUCGUAGGCGGUUUGUCGCGUCUGCUGUGAAAGCCCGGGGCUUAACCCCGUGGUGUGCAGUGGGUACGGGCAGACUAGAGUGCAGUAGGGGAGACUGGAAUUCCUGGGAUGGCGGUGAAGUGGGCUGUUAUCAGGGGGGAGGACGAAAAGGAAGGGAGGUCUCUGGGAUUUUAUUCACGUGGAGGUGCGAGAUCUUUGCUUGCAAUAAG